This 467-nucleotide ribosomal RNA is filed under the name uncultured bacterium. RNAcentral describes it as "partial 16S ribosomal RNA". It matches the Rfam family "Bacterial small subunit ribosomal RNA", at positions 28 to 507 of the family's 1533-position model. The record is from RNAcentral.
GACGAACGCUGGCGGCGUGCUUAACACAUGCAAGUCGAACGGAAAGGCCUCUUUCGGGGGGUACUCGAGUGGCGAACGGGUGAGUAACACGUGAGUAACCUGCCCUUGACUUUGGGAUAACUUCAGGAAACUGGGGCUAAUACCGGAUAGGAGCUCCUGCUGCAUGGUGGGGGUUGGAGAGUUUCGGCGGUUGGGGAUGGACUCGCGGCUUAUCGGCUUGUUGGUGGGGUAGUGGCUUACCAAGGCGUUGACGGGUAGCCGGCCAGAGAGGGUGACCGGCCACACUGGGACUGAGGUGCGGCCCAGACGCCUACGGGUGGCAGCAGUGGGGAAGAUUGCACAAGGGGUGGAAGCCGGAUGCAGCAACGCCGUGUGCGGGAUGACGGCCUUCGGGUUGUAAACCGCUUUCGCUCAUGACGAAGCUUUGUGUGACGGUAGUGGGUAAAGAAGCACCGGCUAACUACGUG